GCAGGAGUGGCGGAAUGGUAGACGCGAAGGUCUCAAACACCUUUGGUAGUAAUACUGUGUGAGUUCAAGUCUCAUCUCCUGCACCA
This 86-nucleotide transfer RNA is filed under the name Mollicutes bacterium. RNAcentral's name for it is "tRNA-Leu". It matches the Rfam family "tRNA". From Rfam's summary of the family: Transfer RNA (tRNA) molecules are approximately 80 nucleotides in length. Lineage: Bacteria; Bacillati; Mycoplasmatota; Mollicutes. The record is from RNAcentral.